CCUACGGGAGGCAGCAGUGAGGAAUAUUGGUCAAUGGACGAGAGUCUGAACCAGCCAAGUAGCGUGAAGGAUGACUGCCCUAUGGGUUGUAAACUUCUUUUAUAUGGGAAUAAAAUGUUCCACGUGUGGGAUUCUGUAUGUACCAUAUGAAUAAGGAUCGGCUAACUCCGUGCCAGCAGCCGCGGUAAUACGGAGGAUCCGAGCGUUAUCCGGAUUUAUUGGGUUUAAAGGGAGCGUAGGUGGAUUGUUAAGUCAGUUGUGAAAGUUUGCGGCUCAACCGUAAAAUUGCAGUUGAAACUGGCAGUCUAGAGUGCAGUAGAGGUAGGCGGAAUGCGUGGUGUAGCGGUGAAAUGCUUAGAGAUCACGAAGAACUCCGAUUGCGAAGGCAGCUCACUGGACUACAACUGACACUGAGGCUCGAAAGUGUGGGUAGCAAACAGGAUUAGAUACCCUUGUAGUC
This 460-nucleotide ribosomal RNA is filed under the name uncultured bacterium. RNAcentral's name for it is "partial 16S ribosomal RNA". It matches the Rfam family "Bacterial small subunit ribosomal RNA", at positions 338 to 795 of the family's 1533-position model. The record is from RNAcentral.